Molecule: long non-coding RNA, 1138 nt
Organism: Canis lupus familiaris (dog)
Lineage: Eukaryota; Metazoa; Chordata; Mammalia; Carnivora; Canidae
Exons: 2
Source: RefSeq, a predicted model, not a curated record
CCGCCGGCCGCGGAGGGAGCACCCGCGGAGCCGGGGACAGGCCUGCGCAGCCAGGGGCCUUGCGGAGCCGAGUCUCACAGGCUGCUACUUCCUGGUCAGAGGCAGCGCUUAGUCUAAAGCUCCUGCCGCCAAAAUAAAGGGGUCCGUCCGCCCUGGAGUCCGGAGGAGAAAGGACGGGGGCUACGGGGUGCCGCGUGGGCCAAGCCGCGCCGCCCGCCGCCCGCCGCCCGCCGCCGCCGCGAGCGCACCUGCCCCGGAGCCCGCCGCCAGCUCGGGGUGUGGCUCGGGCCAUGUGCGGAGCCAGAGCUCGGAAAUGGGGAACCGGGGGAGCGGGAGUGCAAACCAUUGAGCCAGAAGGCACGUGGGGGAAAGGGGAAGCGCGCGGGGCCGAGGACUCCUGGGGUGCGCCGCGACUCGGCUCCCCGCCCGGGGCGGACCGCGAUUCCUUCCCGGUGCUACAUCCUCGGGGCUUCGAAGGUUACUAAUUAUUGACAAAGAGGGGGAAAAAACCCUUUACAGUAAAGAAAUCUGUUACCAUCUCAACCAGUGGUCAACAGCAUCAGCAAUAAUGAGACAACUGAUACGGUGCCUCCUGGUCCAAUGCCCUGAGGAGGACACAUCCCUGCUGCUCAGCACUGCUCAGCACUGCUGCCCACACUGUGCUCCCUGACUAUCCGGGGCAGGUAGAAAACCCACCCUGACAGACAAAACAACCAGCUUGUGCUCUAAAUACGCAUCAGUGCCUGGAAGGACACAGAAAAGUUGGGAACUACUCCAGCCUUUGAAGAUGGAGGAAGGCGCCCCCAGCCAAUGGAUGCUGGAGGUCCCCAGAAGCAGGAUCAACAAGGAGGCCAUCCUCCCCCAGGGCCUUCAGAAGGAAGGCAGCCCUGCCAAUACCUUGAUUUUAGAACUUGACCUCCAGUACUGUAAGAUAAUAAAUCUGUGUUGUUAUAAGCCACAACAUUUGUGGCAAUAUGUUCCAAAGGGGGAGGAAAUAGGCAUGGUGGGCCACUAGAAGCAGAAGUGAUGCUAAGGCACAUCGCCUGGUUGUGCUCCUAUUACUUUUUCAGAGCCACCCUCUAGUCAAAGUAUUUUUGAGUAUUGACUCAGCCAUCCAAUAAAUUUACUAUUUCUCCCA